CCUACGGGAGGCAGCAGUGGGGAAUAUUGCACAAUGGGGGAAACCCUGAUGCAGCGACGCCGCGUGAGUGAAGAAGUAUUUCGGUAUGUAAAGCUCUAUCAGCAGGGAAGAAAAUGACGGUACCUGAUUAAGAAGCCCCGGCUAACUACGUGCCAGCAGCCGCGGUAAUACGUAGGGGGCAAGCGUUAUCCGGAUGUACUGGGUGUAAAGGGAGCGUAGACGGCAGCACAAGUCUGGAGUGAAAUGCCUGGGCUUAACCCCGGAACUGCUUUGGAAACUGUGCAGCUAGAGUGCAGGAGAGGUAAGUGGAAUGCCAAGGGUAGCGGUGAAAGGCGUAGAUAUUAGGAGGAACACCAGUGGCGAAGGCGGCUUACUGGACUGUAACUGACGUUGAGGCGCGAAAGCGUGGGGAGCAAACAGGAUUAGAUACCCGUGUAGUC
Molecule: ribosomal RNA, 440 nt
Filed under: uncultured bacterium
Lineage: Bacteria
Description: partial 16S ribosomal RNA
Rfam family: Bacterial small subunit ribosomal RNA
Source: RNAcentral